RNAcentral lists this ribosomal RNA (325 nucleotides) under Anelosimus rupununi. RNAcentral describes it as "partial 16S ribosomal RNA". The record is from RNAcentral. Lineage: Eukaryota; Metazoa; Arthropoda; Arachnida; Araneae; Theridiidae.
ACAUUUCUUAUUAAAUUUUAUAAUAAGUAUAACCGCUCAAUGAAUAUUAAAUAGCCGCAAAUUUCAUGUGCUAAGGUAGCAUAAUCAUUUGUUUUUUUAAUUAAAAACUAGAAUGAAAGGUUAAACAUUUAAAUUUUUUUAUUUAUAUUAUUAUAUAAAAUUAUAUUAAAUAUAAAAAUAUAUUUAUAAAAUAAAAAGACGACAAGACCCUAUUGAACUUUACUUAUGUUUAACUGGGGCAGUUAUAUAAAUAAAAUCUUAUUUAUUUUUAAUAAAUGAUCCAAUAAAAUUGAUUUAAUAAACAAGUUACCAUAGGGAUAACAGC